RNAcentral lists this ribosomal RNA (497 nucleotides) under uncultured bacterium. RNAcentral describes it as "partial 16S ribosomal RNA". It matches the Rfam family "Bacterial small subunit ribosomal RNA", at positions 28 to 507 of the family's 1533-position model. The record is from RNAcentral.
GAUGAACGCUGGCGGCGUGCCUAAUACAUGCAAGUCGAGCGAACAGAUAAGGAGCUUGCUCCUUUGACGUUAGCGGCGGACGGGUGAGUAACACGUGGGUAACCUACCUAUAAGACUGGGAUAACUUCGGGAAACCGGAGCUAAUACCGGAUAAUAUUUCGAACCGCAUGGUUCGAUAGUGAAAGAUGGUUUUGCUAUCACUUAUAGAUGGACCCGCGCCGUAUUAGCUAGUUGGUAAGGUAACGGCUUACCAAGGCGACGAUACGUAGCCGACCUGAGAGGGUGAUCGGCCACACUGGAACUGAGACACGGUCCAGACUCCUACGGGAGGCAGCAGUAGGGAAUCUUCCGCAAUGGGCGAAAGCCUGACGGAGCAACGCCGCGUGAGUGAUGAAGGUCUUCGGAUCGUAAAACUCUGUUAUUAGGGAAGAACAUACGUGUAAGUAACUGUGUACGUCUUGACGGUACCUAAUCAGAAAGCCACGGCUAACUACGUG